Long non-coding RNA from Setaria italica (foxtail millet), 302 nucleotides. RefSeq lists it as uncharacterized. The transcript has 2 exons. NCBI's taxonomy places the organism in Eukaryota, Viridiplantae, Streptophyta, Magnoliopsida, Poales, Poaceae. The record is from RefSeq and is a predicted model, not a curated record.
GAAAUAGCUGCCAAAUUUGCGAAGAGGACUACCAUCAGGCAUGAACCGAAGCAAUUCAGAAAUAGGUGGGAUCAAUGCAAGAAAUUAUAUGAAUUUUACGUUUUCGCGAUGAAACAAUCAGGAUUAGGUAGGAAAAAUAAUGGAGCCAUUUCAGCGAGUAAAGCCUGGUGGGAUAAAUACUGCAAGUAUCCAGAAUGCCGUAAAUUUAGCAAGUACCUACCUCACUAUCUUGAGCUGCUGUAUGAGAUGUACCACAAAAAUGUAGUUGAUGGAUCAACUACAACCAUACCAGGAGAUGUGGA